Molecule: ribosomal RNA, 440 nt
Filed under: uncultured bacterium
Lineage: Bacteria
Description: partial 16S ribosomal RNA
Rfam family: Bacterial small subunit ribosomal RNA
Source: RNAcentral
CCUACGGGAGGCUGCAGUAGGGAAUAUUGCUCAAUGGGGGAAACCCUGAAGCAGCAACGCCGCGUGGAGGAUGAAGGUUUUAGGAUUGUAAACUCCUUUUGUUAGAGAAGAUUAUGACGGUAUCUAACGAAUAAGCACCGGCUAACUCCGUGCCAGCAGCCGCGGUAAUACGGAGGGUGCAAGCGUUACUCGGAAUCACUGGGCGUAAAGAGUGCGUAGGCGGGGUAAUAAGUCAGAUGUGAAAUCCUGUAGCUUAACUACAGAACUGCAUUUGAAACUGUUACUCUGGAGUGUGUGAGAGGGAGGUGGAAUUCUUGGUGUAGGGGUGAAAUGCGUAGAGAUGAAGAGGAAUACUGAUUGCGAAGGCGACCUGCUGGAACAUUACUGACGCUGAUGCACGAAAGCGUGGGGAGCAAACAGGAUUAGAUACCCUUGUAGUC